RNAcentral lists this ribosomal RNA (403 nucleotides) under uncultured Methanosaeta sp. RNAcentral describes it as "bacterial SSU rRNA". It matches the Rfam family "Archaeal small subunit ribosomal RNA", at positions 937 to 1338 of the family's 1478-position model. Lineage: Archaea; Methanobacteriati; Methanobacteriota; Methanomicrobia; Methanotrichales; Methanotrichaceae. The record is from RNAcentral.
CGACGAGCAAUAUGAAGGUCAGGCUGAAGACCUUACCCGAUUAGCUGAGAGGUGGUGCAUGGCCGUUGUCAGUUCGUACUGUGAAGCAUCCUGUUAAGUCAGGCAACGAGCGAGACCCACGUCCACAGUUGCCAGCAUACCCUCCGGGGUGAUGGGUACACUGUGGAGACCGCCGCUGCUAAAGCGGAGGAAGGAGUGGGCAACGGUAGGUCAGUAUGCCCCGAAUCUCCCGGGCUACACGCGGGCUACAAUGGUUGGUACAAUGGGCAUCUACCCCGAAAGGGGAAGGAAAUCUCUUAAAGCCAAUCGUAGUUCGGAUUGAGGGCUGCAACUCGCCCUCAUGAAGCUGGAAUCCGUAGUAAUCGCGUUUCAACAGAACGCGGUGAAUACGUCCCUGCUCCUU